RNAcentral lists this long non-coding RNA (1061 nucleotides) under Fragaria vesca (wild strawberry). RNAcentral's name for it is "long non-coding RNA (FVES_LNC002448)". Lineage: Eukaryota; Viridiplantae; Streptophyta; Magnoliopsida; Rosales; Rosaceae. The record is from RNAcentral.
UAAAUCAGUUAUACAAUGUAGGACCUCACUCUCACCAUCUGUUAAAAAAGAAUAAGGAAAAAAAAAGGACUUUAAACAAUAACAAAAUAGAAUUACUACAAAAUCCACAGCAAUUUAUAUAGAUCCCCUGAAAUCAAUUAAGUAGAAUACUCUACUCCAAUUGCCACGCCAAAAAAAUGAAACUGAAAUGAAGUAGCUAUUUUCAUGUGUAUAUUAAUUCCUCGUUUGACACUCCUCAAUGUACAUACCACACGUUACACAGCUCUUCAAAUUCCAUUUGCUCUAAUCCCUGUCAGGCUACCUUCCCUAGAAAAUUUGCAGUUCACCUAAACCGCAUAUGCCUAUGGUAAACUGAACACCGGAGCAUCACGUAUGCCUAUGCUAACCUAAACGACACCAUAUGCACAACUCUGUUAGCAGAGUCAACCAUUUACAUCGUAAAAGGUAAAAGAAAAAUUUUCCCUUCUACCUUUUCACUCUCAAGCUCUUUCCUCAGUCUUCUCAACUCAUCUUCAAGUCCUCACUCAUUAUGAAGAGUGGACCUUAGUUUAUAAAUUGUAAGUCUAAAUGUAUUUCAGUAAAAGCAAAUUAAAAUUCUAUUGUAAAAUUUGAAUUGUAGUUGUUAGCUAAUCAAAUUAACAAAGCCAAUAAAUUGACAAUAAAUCUGAAGUUAUUUAGUUAGAAUCAAUUUAAAACCUUAACAUGAUUGUCCAAAAAAAAAUUAACAAAAAAGAGCUCCGUCCUGUCAAGGGAUGCGUUAAAAACACAUUAAUCAUUAUAAAUUGAUAUAAUAAUUCCCGUAGACACAAUACCGAUUGUCAUCAAGUUUUAUUUGAAAAAAAAAAAAAAGCAUCAGAGAGCCUAACUUUUAGCAAUUCAGUUCACAAAAAAUAAAAAUUACUAUGAUAUGGAUAUUUUUCUGGUAAGCAUCAUGCAUACAGCCUCAUAAGUUUAAGACUUAAAAGUAAGAUAGUGACUUCUAAUGAGACCAUGCCUCUGUUUUGACACCUGAUAGGAUUUUUAGGUUCUUUCCGCUAUAAGUUUCAAUUCAGUUUUGAUUC